This is a non-coding RNA of Solanum tuberosum (potato), 72 nucleotides long. The record is from Rfam. Lineage: Eukaryota; Viridiplantae; Streptophyta; Magnoliopsida; Solanales; Solanaceae.
GGAUCCGUGGCGCAAUGGUAGCGCGUCUGACUCCAGACCAGAAGGUUGCGAAUUUGAUUCACGUCAGGUUUG